GCGCAGGCGGAGGGGCUCGCGGCCUAUCAGCUAGUUGGUGCGGUAACGGCGCACCAAGGCAGUGACGGGUAGCUGGUCUGAGAGGAUGGCCAGCCACAUUGGGACUUAGACACGGCCCAG
RNAcentral lists this ribosomal RNA (120 nucleotides) under uncultured bacterium. RNAcentral's name for it is "partial 16S ribosomal RNA". It matches the Rfam family "Bacterial small subunit ribosomal RNA", at positions 215 to 334 of the family's 1533-position model. The record is from RNAcentral.